This 442-nucleotide ribosomal RNA is filed under the name uncultured prokaryote. Its description in RNAcentral is "bacterial SSU rRNA". It matches the Rfam family "Bacterial small subunit ribosomal RNA", at positions 355 to 796 of the family's 1533-position model. The record is from RNAcentral.
UGGGGAAUAUUGCACAAUGGGCGCAAGCCUGAUGCAGCGACGCCGCGUGAGGGAUGACGGCCUUCGGGUUGUAAACCUCUUUCAGUAUGGAACAAGGAUCCUUCUUUUGGGGGUUUGAGGGUACGUGCAGAAGAAGCGCCGGCUAACUACGUGCCAGCAGCCGCGGUAAUACGUAGGGCGCGAGCGUUGUCCGGAUUUAUUGGGCGUAAAGAGCUCGUAGGCGGUUUGUCGCGUCUGCCGUGAAAUUUCCUGGCUUAACUGGGAGCGUGCGGUGGGUACGGGCAGACUGGAGUGCGGUAGGGGAGACUGGAAUUCCUGGUGUAGCGGUGGAAUGCGCAGAUAUCAGGAGGAACACCGGUGGCGAAGGCGGGUCUCUGGGCCGUUACUGACGCUGAGGAGCGAAAGCAUGGGGAGCGAACAGGAUUAGAUACCCCCGUAGUCC